GCCUGUGUCUCCAAGGCUAAAAAGGACUGAGCCUGCUGAGGAGAAGCAGUACCUGAUCUUUGGUGCAUCAUCCUUUCCUGAAUCCAGCCUGAAUGAAAGGCAUCUGAGGACUGACUACUCAUUAAUCUGGAUCAGAAUUACUCUCUGUAUCAUCUUACAGCACUUCAAUGGCGGCAGUGAAGCCCAAGACCUCUACUCUGUAGGUAAUUGAAACCCUUGGAGGAGGAACACUGGAGAGUCCCUCAAUGGAUGUCAGGACAGAAGAAGUGGACCAGGGACCCUCUGAAUGGUG
Mauremys mutica (yellowpond turtle) is the source of this 292-nucleotide long non-coding RNA. RefSeq lists it as uncharacterized. The transcript has 3 exons. Lineage: Eukaryota; Metazoa; Chordata; Testudines; Geoemydidae. The record is from RefSeq and is a predicted model, not a curated record.